This 471-nucleotide ribosomal RNA is filed under the name uncultured organism. RNAcentral describes it as "partial 16S ribosomal RNA". It matches the Rfam family "Bacterial small subunit ribosomal RNA", at positions 334 to 797 of the family's 1533-position model. The record is from RNAcentral.
CACUCCUACGGGAGGCAGCAGUGGGGAAUUUUGGACAAUGGGCGAAAGCCUGAUCCAGCAAUGCCGCGUGAGUGAAGAAGGCCUUCGGGUUGUAAAGCUCUUUUGUCAGGGAAGAAACGGUGAAAGCUAAUAUCUUUUGCUAAUGACGGUACCUGAAGAAUAAGCACCGGCUAACUACGUGCCAGCAGCCGCGGUAAUACGUAGGGUGCAAGCGUUAAUCGGAAUUACUGGGCGUAAAGCGUGCGCAGGCGGUUUUGUAAGUCUGAUGUGAAAUCCCCGGGCUCAACCUGGGAAUUGCAUUGGAGGCUGCAAGGCUAGAAUCUGGCAGAGGGGGGUAGAAUUCCACGUGGAGCAGUGAAAUGCGUAGAUAUGUGGAGGAACACCGAUGGCGAAGGCAGCCCCCUGGGUCAAGAUUGACGCUCAUGCACGAAAGCGUGGGGAGCAAACAGGAUUAGAAACCCGUGUAGUCCC